CCCGCCACUAUACCAGAAUCAUGUGUCUCGGUAUAAUCCAGUGGUGAGCUUAGAGCGACCUCCUCUUAGGAAACAGGGCUGCUCUGUGUCCAUGGUCUGCCCUGUGCCGAAAGAUGGAGAACACAA
Small nucleolar RNA from Hyla sarda, 126 nucleotides. RefSeq annotates it as small nucleolar RNA SNORA65. The record is from RefSeq and is a predicted model, not a curated record. The transcript has a single exon. NCBI's taxonomy places the organism in Eukaryota, Metazoa, Chordata, Amphibia, Anura, Hylidae.